This 450-nucleotide ribosomal RNA is filed under the name uncultured bacterium. RNAcentral describes it as "partial 16S ribosomal RNA". It matches the Rfam family "Bacterial small subunit ribosomal RNA", at positions 338 to 795 of the family's 1533-position model. The record is from RNAcentral.
CCUACGGGGGGCUGCAGUAGGGAAUAUUGGACAAUGGGCGCAAGCCUGAUCCAGCCAUGCCGCGUGAGUGAAGAAGGCCCUCGGGUUGUAAAGCUCUUUUGUCCGGAAAGAAAAGCAAUCGGUUACUACCCGGUUGUUCUGACGGUACCGGAAGAAUAAGCACCGGCUAACUUCGUGCCAGCAGCCGCGGUAAUACGAAGGGUGCAUGCGUUACUCGGAAUUACUGGGCGUGAUGCGUGAGUAGGGGGGUGAAAGCCCUGGGCUCAACAUGGGAAUGGCAUUGGAUACUGGCGGGCUAGAGGGCGGUAGAGGGUAGUGGAAGUCCCGGUGUAGCAGUGAAAUGCGUAGAGAUCGGGAGGAACAUCUGUGGCGAAGGCGACUGCCUGGACCAGAACUGACACUGAGGCACGAAAGCGUGGGGAGCAAACAGGAUUAGAUACCCGGGUAGUC